This 496-nucleotide ribosomal RNA is filed under the name Ramisyllis multicaudata. RNAcentral describes it as "partial large subunit ribosomal RNA". It matches the Rfam family "Bacterial large subunit ribosomal RNA", at positions 1812 to 2609 of the family's 2925-position model. The record is from RNAcentral. Lineage: Eukaryota; Metazoa; Annelida; Polychaeta; Phyllodocida; Syllidae.
AACAUUGUUUCUUGAUCCAUAAUAUAAGAAAUAAGUACUGCCCAGUGAUAUUAUUUCAACGGCCGCGGUAUACUGACCGUGCGAAGGUAGCAUAAUAAUUUGUCUCCUAAUUAGGGAAUAGAAUGAAUGGACAAACUCGAAACAUACUGUCUCUAUAACACACUAAUAACUUUAUCUUCAGGUGAAAAAGCCUGAAUAUAAUAAAAAGACAAGAAGACCCUAAAAGCUUUAUAUCUUACAGCUAACUCCAAGCACCAUGAUCUUUUGUUGGGACGACAACAAGAAUAAAAAACACUUGUAAAAAUAAAGACCAAGUCUCCAUUAUUAACCAAAAAAAGAAAAUAUGUAAGCUACUCUAGGGGUAACAGGCUAAUGUUCUUAAAGAGUACACAUUGACAAGAACGUUUGGCACCUCGAUGUUGGCUUAGGGACUCUCUUUCAUGCAAAAGUAAAAAAAGAAGGUUUGUUCAACCUAUAAUCCCCUACAUGAUCUGAG